UUCCCAUACGGGUUGAAGCAUGACCGUAAGGACAUGUGGACAGUAUGGGAGUGAGAAUGUUGGCAUGAGUAGCGAGAUGUGGGUGAGAAUCCUACAGGCCGUAAACCCAAGGUUUCCAGGGGAAGGUGCGUCCGCCCGGGGUUAGUCGGGUCCUAAGCUGAGGCCGAAAGGCGGAGGUGAAGGACAACCGGUUGAUAUUCCUGUACUACCGAUAACCGUUUGAGAGA
Molecule: ribosomal RNA, 227 nt
Filed under: Clostridioides difficile
Lineage: Bacteria; Bacillati; Bacillota; Clostridia; Peptostreptococcales; Peptostreptococcaceae
Description: partial 23S ribosomal RNA
Rfam family: Bacterial large subunit ribosomal RNA
Source: RNAcentral